This 135-nucleotide small nucleolar RNA is filed under the name Ipomoea nil (Japanese morning glory). RNAcentral's name for it is "small nucleolar RNA snoR137". It matches the Rfam family "small nucleolar RNA snoR137". Lineage: Eukaryota; Viridiplantae; Streptophyta; Magnoliopsida; Solanales; Convolvulaceae. The record is from Rfam by way of RNAcentral.
GUUGCUUCUUACUGGUGAACCCCUUCAUAAUUGAAAUGAAGGUUGUUCUAGUUUCCGGGGCAUAGAUCAAAUGGCAGUAUUAAACAGCAUGGUGCAUAUCCAGUUGCAUAUUGCUACCUGUCUCCUGCAACAGAU